Molecule: ribosomal RNA, 120 nt
Filed under: Salmo salar (Atlantic salmon)
Lineage: Eukaryota; Metazoa; Chordata; Actinopteri; Salmoniformes; Salmonidae
Source: RNAcentral
GCUUACGGCCAUACCAGCCUGGGUACCGCCCGAUCUCGUCUGAUCUCGGAAGCUAAGCAGGGUCGGGCCUGCUUAGUACUUGGAUGGGAGACCGCCUUGGAAUACCAGGUGCUGUAAGCA